This 21-nucleotide non-coding RNA is filed under the name Caenorhabditis elegans. The record is from RNAcentral. Lineage: Eukaryota; Metazoa; Nematoda; Chromadorea; Rhabditida; Rhabditidae.
UCUUGCUACCUUUUGAAGUCA